UUGGAAUUUUAAAUUCAGGUGUUAUUUCUGAUGGAUCAUCAAGUCAGCAAUCAACCAUCUGAAAGGUAUAUGUCAAAAGAUAUUCAGAAGAAUGUAGUCCUGAAUUGUUACAGGUGGAAGUUAUUAUCUGGCAAAACUUGUGAGGACAAUCUUGGUCUCCACUUAAGAUAUUGAAUAGAGGCCAAAUUUGAUGAUUCUUUUCUCAUGGCUGAAAAGAAUAGUUUAUCGGUGAUGAAAAAUGCAUUCCUUAUCUUGACAGAGAGUUGGAAAACCAUGAUCUCCAAGGAGUCAAAACUUCAGUGCUUCCCAAGGAUAAUAAAAGUAUACAAGAUGGACUCAAGUAAACUGCAAUGCAUUACUGAUCAUAUAUGGUUUAGCAGUAGAUAAAUAUAUUGCUAUUUUUUUCCUAGAAUAUAGGAAACAUCUUUCAGAUAUUAUGUAUUCUAUACCCUCUUCACUUUACCUCCACUCUCAAAGUAACAGCCAUAGAAUUAGUGAAUUAGAGAAUUGGAAUGGAACAAAGAAACAACCUAAUUCAGCCCAAACAUAAAAUAGAACCAAUAACUAUAACACACAACUGGACAUGUAGCCUCUGUAUAAAAAUGUCUAAGGAGGAGGACCCACUACAACCCUAGGAAUCCCUUUUCAUUUGAGGACAAUCUAAUCACUAGAAAGUUGUUUGGUUUGAUUUGUCACUUUCACUGAGCCAAAAUUUGCCUUUUUACAAUUCUACUUUUUAUUUCUUUUUCUGUGCUCCCAAAUCAUAUGGACCAAGUACAUUCCCUGUUUCAAAUAACAAUCCUUCAAAAACUUUAAGAACAGAACAUGUCCAAUCAAUUAAACUGAUCCUCACAUGUGAUAUGUACUCCAGGUCUUUCAGUAUCUGGAAUGCCAUGAUUUUUUUUAAAUUUUCCAUGCUAUACUGAUAUUUAUUAAUUAACAGAAAUUAAUUAAACAAAAAUCUAUAAAGGAACCUUCAGGAGAGCAAAAUAUAAUGAGAUUAUUGUCUCCUUUUACUAGAAGCUAUGAUAAUAUUGGUAUUUCCUGUGAAUGAAUUAAUAUUUUGGUUGUAUUUUUUGAAAUAAUAAAAUCAUUACUUUUCAAAAUAUUUCCUUUAUACAUAUCUUCUUUAUCUUAUGUAAGUGAAAUUUCUGUUUUUGUACCCACAUAACACUUUAUAUUUCUUUCUGUUGAAGGAAGGAAGGAAGAAGUGUUUGAAUAAGAGUCUAUUCUGUUUUAGGUACUGUAAAAAGUGCUUUACAAAUAUUAGGAACUAUCUCUGCUGGGCCUCUAUCCCAAAAAGAUCAUAAAAAUGGGAAAAGGACCCACAUGUGCAAGAA
Molecule: long non-coding RNA, 1340 nt
Organism: Sarcophilus harrisii (Tasmanian devil)
Lineage: Eukaryota; Metazoa; Chordata; Mammalia; Dasyuromorphia; Dasyuridae
Exons: 3
Source: RefSeq, a predicted model, not a curated record